GACGAACGCUGGCGGCGUGCUUAACACAUGCAAGUCGAACGGAAAGACCCUGCUUUUGUGGGGUGCUCGAGUGGCGAACGGGUGAGUAACACGUGAGUAACCUGCCCUUGACUUUGGGAUAACUUCAGGAAACUGGGGCUAAUACCGGAUAGGAGCUCCUGCUGCAUGGUGGGGGUUGGAAAGUUUCGGCGGUUGGGGAUGGACUCGCGGCUUAUCAGCUUGUUGGUGGGGUAGUGGCUUACCAAGGCUUGGACGGGUAGGCGGCCUGAGAGGGUGACCGGCCACAUUGGGACUGAGAUACGGACCAGACUCCUACGGGAGGCAGCAGUGGGGAAUAUUGCACAAUGGGCGGAAGCCUGAUGCAGCAACGCCGCGUGCGGGAUGACGGCCUUCGGGUUGUAAACCGCUUUCGCCUGUGACGAAGCGUGAGUGACGGUAAUGGGUAAAGAAGCACCGGCUAACUACGUG
Molecule: ribosomal RNA, 468 nt
Filed under: uncultured bacterium
Lineage: Bacteria
Description: partial 16S ribosomal RNA
Rfam family: Bacterial small subunit ribosomal RNA
Source: RNAcentral